UUGCCAGCCCGCUCAGAAACUUAAAGGAAGUUGACGGGGGCCUGCACAAGCGGUGGAGCAUGUGGUUUAAUUCGAAGCAACGCGCAGAACCUUACCAGCGUUUGACAUGGUAGGACGACUGGCAGAGAUGCCUUUCUUCCCUUCGGGGACCUACACACAGGUGCUGCAUGGCGGUCGUCAGCUCGUGUCGUGAGAUGUUGGGUUAAGUCCCGCAACGAGCGCAACCCUCGACUUUAGUUGCCAGCAGUUCGGCUGGGCACUCUAAAGGGACUGCCGGUGUUAAACCGGAGGAAGGUGGGGAUGACGUCAAGUCCUCAUGGCCUUUAUGACCAGGGCUACACACGUACUACAAUGGCCGAUACAAAGGGCAGCGACACUGCGAGGUGAAGCCAAUCCCGUAAAAUCGGUCUCAGUCCGGAUUGGAGUCUGCAACUCGACUCCAUGAAGUUGGAAUCGCUAGUAAUCGUGGAUCAGCAUGCCACGGUGAAUACGUUCCCGGGCCUU
RNAcentral lists this ribosomal RNA (504 nucleotides) under uncultured Desulfobulbus sp. Its description in RNAcentral is "bacterial SSU rRNA". It matches the Rfam family "Bacterial small subunit ribosomal RNA", at positions 903 to 1382 of the family's 1533-position model. The record is from RNAcentral. Lineage: Bacteria; Pseudomonadati; Thermodesulfobacteriota; Desulfobulbia; Desulfobulbales; Desulfobulbaceae.